CCUCCGGAGCCUCCUCUGUCAGUUGGGCUGGGGGCAGGGCCUUUGUGAAGGCGGGUGGUGUUCGGAUCGCCUCUGGGCCCUUCCUCCAGCCCAGGGGCGGACUCACC
This is a microRNA precursor of Mustela putorius furo (domestic ferret), 107 nucleotides long. Ensembl annotates it as microRNA 326. Its record names the gene MIR326. NCBI's taxonomy places the organism in Eukaryota, Metazoa, Chordata, Mammalia, Carnivora, Mustelidae. The record is from Ensembl.